AGGUUGAUGGCGACCGGCGCACGGGUGAGUAACACGUAUCCAACCUACCGGUUAUUCCGGGAUAGCCUUUCGAAAGAAAGAUUAAUACCGGAUAGUAUAACGAGAAGGCAUCUUUUUGUUAUUAAAGAAUUUCGAUAACCGAUGGGGAUGCGUUCCAUUAGUUUGUUGGCGGGGUAACGGCCCACCAAGACAUCGAUGGAUAGGGGUUCUGAGAGGAAGGUCCCCCACAUUGGAACUGAGACACGGUCCAAACUCCUACGGGAGGCAGCAGUGAGGAAUAUUGGUCAAUGGACGAGAGCCUGAACCAGCCAAGUAGCGUGAAGGAUGAAGGCUCUAUGGGUCGUAAACUUCUUUUAUAUGGGAAUAAAGUUUUCCACGUGUGGAAUUUUGUAUGUACCAUAUGAAUAAGGAUCGGCUAACUCCGUGCCAGCAGCCGCGGUAAUACGGAGGAUCCGAGCGUUAUCCGGAUUUAUUGGGUUUAAAGGGAGCGUAGGUGGAUUGUUAAGUCAGUUGUGAAAGUUUGCGGCUCAACCGUAAAAUUGCAGUUGAAACUGGCAGUCUUGAGUACAGUAGAGGUGGGCGGAAUUCGUGGUGUAGCGGUGAAAUGCUUAGAUAUCACGAAGAACUCCGAUUGCGAAGGCAGCUCACUAGACUGUCACUGACACUGAUGCUCGAAAGUGUGGGUAUCAAACAGGAUUAGAUACCCUGGUAGUCCACACAGUAAACGAUGAAUACUCGCUGUUUGCGAUAUACAGUAAGCGGCCAAGCGAAAGCAUUAAGUAUUCCACCUGGGGAGUACGCCGGCAACGGUGAAACUCAAAGGAAUUGACGGGGGCCCGCACAAGCGGAGGAACAUGUGGUUUAAUUCGAUGAUACGCGAGGAACCUUACCCGGGCUUAAAUUGCAAAUGAAUAUUUUGGAAACAGAAUAGCCGCAAGGCAUUUGUGAAGGUGCUGCAUGGUUGUCGUCAGCUCGUGCCGUGAGGUGUCGGCUUAAGUGC
Molecule: ribosomal RNA, 1000 nt
Filed under: uncultured bacterium
Lineage: Bacteria
Description: bacterial SSU rRNA
Rfam family: Bacterial small subunit ribosomal RNA
Source: RNAcentral